This 465-nucleotide ribosomal RNA is filed under the name uncultured bacterium. RNAcentral's name for it is "partial 16S ribosomal RNA". It matches the Rfam family "Bacterial small subunit ribosomal RNA", at positions 338 to 795 of the family's 1533-position model. The record is from RNAcentral.
CCUACGGGGGGCAGCAGUAGGGAAUCUUCCACAAUGGGCGAAAGCCGGAGGGAGCAACGCCGCGGGGGGGAAGAAGGUCUUCGGAUCGUAAAACCCGGUGGGUAGAGAAGAAAGGGCGGGAGAGUAACUGUUCACGUGUCGACGGUAUCUAACCAGAAAGCAACGGCUAACUACGUGCCAGCAGCCGCGGUAAUACGUAGGUGGAAAGCGUUAUCCGGAUUAAUUGGGCGUAAAGGGAACGAAGGCGGUCUUUUAAGUCUGAUGUGAAAGCCUUCGGCUUAACCGGAGGAGUGCAUUGGAAACUGGGAGACUUGAGUGCAGGAGAGGGGAGUGGAACUCCAUGUGUAGCGGUGAAAUGCGUAGAUAUAUGGAAGAACACCAGUGGCGAAGGCGGCUCUCUGGUCUGUAACUGACGCUGAGGUUCGAAAGCGUGGGUAGCAAACAGGAUUAGAUACCCUAGUAGUC